GAUGAAGAACGUAGCGAAACGCGAUAAGUAAUGUGAAUUGCAGAAUCCAGUGAAUCAUCGAACCUUUGAACGCACAUUGCGCCCGCCAGCAUUCUGGCGGGCAUGCCUGUUCGAGCGUCAUUUCAACCCUCGACCUCCCCUUGGGGAGGUCGGCGUUGGGGACCGGCAGCACACCGCCGGCCCUGAAAUGGAGUGGCGGCCCGUCCGCGGCGACCUCUGCGCAGUAAUACAGCUCGCACCGGGACCCCGACGCGGCCACGCCGUAAAACACCCAACUUCUGAACGUUGACCUCGAAUCAGGUAGGACUACCCGCUGAACUUAAGCAUAUCAAUAAGCGGAGGA
RNAcentral lists this unclassified non-coding RNA (343 nucleotides) under soil metagenome. Its description in RNAcentral is "partial contains 5.8S ribosomal RNA, internal transcribed spacer 2, and large subunit ribosomal RNA". The stretch from base 1 to 120 matches the Rfam family "5.8S ribosomal RNA", at positions 35 to 154 of the family's 154-position model. The record is from RNAcentral.